AGAGUUUGAUCCUGGCUCAGAUUGAACGCUGGCGGAAUGCUUUACACAUGCAAGUCGAGCGGCAGCGCGGGGCAACCUGGCGGCGAGCGGCGAACGGGUGAGUAAUGCAUCGGAACAUGUCCAUGUCGUGGGGGAUAGCCCGGCGAAAGCCGGAUUAAUACCGCAUACGCCCGAGAGGGGAAAGCAGGGGACCGCAAGGCCUUGCGCGAUUGGGUUGGCCGAUGUCCGAUUAGCUUGUUGGUGAGGUAAAGGCUUACCAAGGCGAUGAUCGGUAGCUGGUCUGAGAGGAUGAUCAGCCACACUGGGACUGAGACACGGCCCAGACUCCUACGGGAGGCAGCAGUGGGGAAUCUUGGACAAUGGGGGCAACCCUGAUCCAGCCAUUCCGCGUGAGUGAAGAAGGCCUUCGGGUUGUAAAGCUCUUUUGUCCGGAGCGAAACGGGCGGCCCUAAUACGGUCGUCUACUGACGGUACCGGAAGAAUAAGCACCGGCUAACUACGUG
RNAcentral lists this ribosomal RNA (503 nucleotides) under uncultured bacterium. RNAcentral's name for it is "bacterial SSU rRNA". It matches the Rfam family "Bacterial small subunit ribosomal RNA", at positions 8 to 507 of the family's 1533-position model. The record is from RNAcentral.